This is a long non-coding RNA of Talpa occidentalis (Iberian mole), 442 nucleotides long. RefSeq lists it as uncharacterized. Lineage: Eukaryota; Metazoa; Chordata; Mammalia; Eulipotyphla; Talpidae. The record is from RefSeq and is a predicted model, not a curated record. The transcript is spliced from 3 exons.
CCCCGGGAGCCGCCCGCGGUUACAUCAUCCCCGUUAUCCAUGCGGUGUCCAUUCACCAAAUGCUCCAGGAAUGCAUGAAGUUUAUGGUUCGCCUCAAACCAGCAAGGUUUGCAGAGGACCUGGUGUGUCCCUUAUUAUAGGGCCAGGAAUGGGCCACAGGGAAUCACUUGAUCCUGAGAAGUCAUGGUGAGGAACAGUCAGUCAGAGAAGCCGAUACAAACCAACAUCGGAGAAGAGGAGAGAAUGUGAGCAUUCUGCAUUUGAAACAAACCCUUGGCAGUUCUGAUGGUUCCCUGAGAUUUGAGAGCCACUGGUGGGACUGGACCCCAGUGAAGUGGUCCCACUUUUACUGCCUUCAACCACCAUCUCUACAGAUUCAGUCACAGAAAAGGAACAAGAUGAUUUUAACUUGAUACCCAAUGUGGCAAAAAAUAAAUAAAUG